RNAcentral lists this unclassified non-coding RNA (218 nucleotides) under soil metagenome. RNAcentral's name for it is "partial contains small subunit ribosomal RNA, internal transcribed spacer 1, and 5.8S ribosomal RNA". The record is from RNAcentral.
UUUCCGUAGGUGAACCUGCGGAAGGAUCAUUAACGAGUUGCGUUCGGGGUUGUUGCUGGCUCUACUCGAGCAUGUGCACGCCUCGCAUCCACUUCAACCACACCUGUGCACUUCAGAGGACCGCUCGGUCCUCUUUUACACACAAACCUUUAUAUCGUCAUGGUAGAACGUCAUGUAUUAAACAAAUACAACUUUCAACAACGGAUCUCUUGGCUCUC